UACGGGGGGGGCAAGCGUUGCUCGGAAUCACUGGGCGUAAAGGGCGCGUAGGCGGCCAUUCAAGUCGGAGGUGAAAGCCCAGGGCUCAACCCUGGAAUUGCCUUCGAUACUGUUUGGCUAGAGACCGGAAGAGGUAAGUGGAACUGCGAGUGUAGAGGUGAAAUUCGUAGAUAUUCGCAAGAACACCAGUGGCGAAGGCGGCUUACUGGUCCGGUUCUGACGCUGAGGCGCGAAAGCGUGGGGAGCAAACAGG
This 253-nucleotide ribosomal RNA is filed under the name uncultured bacterium. RNAcentral's name for it is "partial 16S ribosomal RNA". It matches the Rfam family "Bacterial small subunit ribosomal RNA", at positions 524 to 776 of the family's 1533-position model. The record is from RNAcentral.